UACGGGAGGCAGCAGUGGGGAAUAUUGCACAAUGGGCGCAAGCCUGAUGCAGCCAUGCCGCGUGUAUGAAAAAGGCCUUCGGGUUGUAAAGUACUUUCAGUCGUGAGGAAGGUGUUAAGGUUAAUAACCUUAGCAAUUGACGUUAGCGACAGAAGAAGCACCGGCUAACUCCGUGCCAGCAGCCGCGGUAAUACGGAGGGUGCGAGCGUUAAUCGGAAUUACUGGGCGUAAAGGGCACGCAGGCGGUUAAUUAAGUUGGAUGUGAAAUCCCCGGGCUUAACCUGGGAAUGGCAUUCAAGACUGGUUAGCUAGAGUCUUGUAGAGGGGGUAGAAUUCCAUGUGUAGCGGUGAAAUGCGUAGAGAUGUGGAGGAAAUAACCGGUGGCGGAAAGGCGGCCCCCUGGACAAAAGACUGACGCUCAUGUGCGAAAAGCGUGGGGAGCAAAACAGGGAUUAAGAUAACC
RNAcentral lists this ribosomal RNA (463 nucleotides) under uncultured bacterium. RNAcentral's name for it is "bacterial SSU rRNA". It matches the Rfam family "Bacterial small subunit ribosomal RNA", at positions 340 to 787 of the family's 1533-position model. The record is from RNAcentral.